CACUGCUACAAGCCGAGAAAUCGCUGAAAGCUUGAGAGAUAUCAAGGAAUUCCUCGUCGUUAUUGGAAGAAGCUUUGCCACACUUGUCAUUACUAUUGUUAUUCCGAGACGCAAGCUCCCCAAGACGCAUGUCGAUGACAGAUUCAGUUAAAUUUUCCGAUACAUAAGCCGAGUUGUCGGUGGCAGUAGUAAAAGAACAGCAGCUGCCGUCAUUCUGGUAGAGAUUGGAGCGUAUCGUGCGCAUGGAACGGCCGACAUGCCGGCUGAUUUUGGUAGCGGAAGCAGAGGAUGGGUUAUAAAAAUUAUUGUUUCGGGUUAAAGGGAAGCGAUUUGAACUGGAAUGCGAAUCUUCCAAAGAAACCAUUUUUCGCAAACUAAAUUUGGUUUUGGAGAAAACGAAACCGUUUUCUGAAACUGGUUCUCGGCGAUUCGAUUUCAAGAGAAUUUCAUGGUUUGUGCAUGAAAGAGAGGGAGAAAGGGAGACACAGGGCGUUGCAGAAGAAGACGAGAGACGGUUUUAUGGC
Molecule: unclassified non-coding RNA, 524 nt
Filed under: Hevea brasiliensis (rubber tree)
Lineage: Eukaryota; Viridiplantae; Streptophyta; Magnoliopsida; Malpighiales; Euphorbiaceae
Source: RNAcentral